GCCGGGUUGGGUGGCGCCAACUUGUCACGGAUAUGCUUCUGUCCGGGUAGUAAGGUGUGAGGAUUGUGGUAUGCGUUGCUGAAUUACUAUCCCCAGGAUGUGGAUGAUGCGUCCAUCUCAAACCAGGAGUCGACAUUGGGGUAUUGUCGUAAGACAGUGCACCGAGGUCACUAAGGAAGGGUGUACUNCCCCAGGCUGGUUAACAGAGCAGGGAAAAACCCUCGCUCUUGGUAGUGGGAGGAUCUCGUAUCAGAAUCCUGAUGUAUUACAACUGCGCUGUAAAUAGUAAUUCGAUCACCUUGCAA
Phytophthora nicotianae (black shank of tobacco agent) is the source of this 305-nucleotide non-coding RNA. It matches the Rfam family "Metazoan signal recognition particle RNA". Rfam says of the family: The signal recognition particle (SRP) is a universally conserved ribonucleoprotein. It is involved in the co-translational targeting of proteins to membranes. The eukaryotic SRP consists of a 300-nucleotide 7S RNA and six proteins: SRPs 72, 68, 54, 19, 14, and 9. The record is from Rfam. NCBI's taxonomy places the organism in Eukaryota, Oomycota, Peronosporomycetes, Peronosporales, Peronosporaceae.